UUUUGUUGUGUUUCAUUUAAUUUCUUUUCCAAGGAUAUCUAGUAAUCAGUCAGUAUAUAUGGAGAUUGAUUUUCUGAUAUUUUGCUAUCACCCUUCAUCUUCAAAGGGGACUGCAAGAAUUGCAUUCAUUUGUGGGAACCUACGUCUGGUACGACAUGGAAUGUUGAUGCUAAUCCCUUUGUCAGACAUACCGGAAGUGUUGAAGAUCUACAAUGGAGUCCCACAGAACCUUAUGUAUUUGCCUCUUGCUCUGUGGAUGGGAAUAUUGCAAUAUGGGAUAUUCGUCUAGGGAAGUCACUAGCAGCAUCCAUAAAGGCACAUAAUGUAGAUGUGAAUGUUAUCUCAUGGAACAGGCAUUUAUAAAGAUGGACCAAAGCGGAUCUUCUUAUCUGAAGAACCUUGGCAAGUGUUCAAUCUUCGUAAACAACAAGGAAAUAGUACCUAAACAGGUUGUAAACCUUACUUCAAGUUGUUUGAUUGAGGUAUGUUUUUACCUUCCUUGGACACUAGACUAAUCAAUUUUAUUUUUUAUUUUAUUUU
Non-coding RNA from Camellia sinensis, 540 nucleotides. The record is from RefSeq and is a predicted model, not a curated record. NCBI's taxonomy places the organism in Eukaryota, Viridiplantae, Streptophyta, Magnoliopsida, Ericales, Theaceae.